UGUAUGGCUUAUCAGGGAACUGAAAAAUUGGGCUAAAUGGACACAUUUCUGGAGUGUGAACUGCACAGCAGGUGAUCUCUGAAGCAGACAGCCAGCAGAGUGGCCUUUUUACUCCAGAUCUCUCCCCUGUAUGGCUAGGAAAAAAAAGAGAGAAACCUAAACACUGAAUACAGCAAAUGGAUUUCUGAACCACGUGUCUCUUGCAGCAGAUGUGGAAAUUGAGGCCAGUGAGAUGAAAUAACUUAUCCAAGGCCACCCAGCAAGUGAAGAGUGGAAUGAGGAUGUGCACUUAGAAUCCCUGCUCUAAGUGGCAGCACCCUUCCUCACCAUGUUGUGGUUUGCCGAUUGGAUAAGGAAGACUUCCAAGGCCCCUUCUGUGGCCUCUCCUGUCCACAGUCUGCACCUGUCCUCUCAAUUGUGGUGAAACAAAGAAGUGUGUCUAACACAAAGUGAACAGGAAAUAAGAAAGUGUUUUUAUGCACAGAGAAUGCAACUGCUGUCCAAAGUCAGUUAAUUAAAAAACAUCAAUCUAUGCAAACAUGAAGAAAUGGUCCAGCGGGAAAUUGGACCAAUUUGGAAUUUGGUAAAGUCUACUUAUUUUCAACGUGUCUCUAAAUUUGGGGAAAACAUCUUGGUUGAAUGUUUACAUAAUCAUGUGAUGGGAUAUUUCUUUAAAAAUAUUGUCAUUAUCCCCAAGCUAAGUAUUUAUUCUUUUGUUUAGAAUUUACAUAAGGUAGUAACCUAUGCUUUGGAAAUCACACUAGAGGGGCUCCAAUUCUUUUCUGCAUCUAAACUCAAUAUGGAUGAAUCUUGGAUUACUAUGGUAUUUUACUUUUCGGAUUAACAUGGUGAAAAAGAAUUUAAUAGCAAAGAGCAAAGGUAAGCUCUAAGAGAAUUUGGGUGUUUGGAUCUGGUUGCUUCUUUUUAAAAAGAAUUAAUAUUAAUUGCAAAUCCUUUGGUGAUCAGAAGUACAAGGGAAAUGUAAUCACAUUGUUGGUACAUGGUUCUCACUAGUGUGAGUCAAAUAAUGUUCUCACAAACAAUGGCAGUUUAUUUAUCUAACCUCAUUGUUCCUUAUAAUGACUUUUUGGGAUAAUUAAGGCAGAUUCCAUUAAUCCCAUAAAUGUUUUUAGGAAAAACCUUUCUAAAAUAUAUGGCAAACUUUCUUUUUGUUAAACUUAUUGAAACUAGAUGAAACUUCCUAAUAGUUAAGAGAAAUCUCAUAAGCAUUCAUUAUUCUGUGGUGCUGCAGAGUCAAGAGCGCUAAAGAUACAACAAUAACAAUCAUCUUCAUAGUAGUUACCAUGUGUGAUCAUAUAGGAUAUUGUGUGCAGGAACAUUUCUGAGUGCUUUUUUCAUAUUAACUCAUCCCAUUCUUAUUAGAACACUAUGAAGUAAGAACCAGUAUCGUUCUCAUGUUGUAGAUGAGUUAACUGAGAC
Molecule: long non-coding RNA, 1440 nt
Organism: Herpailurus yagouaroundi (jaguarundi)
Lineage: Eukaryota; Metazoa; Chordata; Mammalia; Carnivora; Felidae
Exons: 4
Source: RefSeq, a predicted model, not a curated record